RNAcentral lists this small nucleolar RNA (254 nucleotides) under Millerozyma farinosa CBS 7064. Its description in RNAcentral is "Small nucleolar RNA snR191". It matches the Rfam family "Small nucleolar RNA snR191". Lineage: Eukaryota; Fungi; Ascomycota; Pichiomycetes; Serinales; Debaryomycetaceae. The record is from Rfam by way of RNAcentral.
UACCAAAGAAUUAGUCAAGAUGGUAAUUAAAACCUACAUUACUAUCUGUUACUUCUUUGGAAGAUCAAAAGAUCUCACUGAACCUUUCCUUUUUUAGGAAUUGAAUCUGCUCGUUCUGAUCAGAUUUUGUUCAAACUAGGACUAGUUUUUAGUCCUUUUCGAGAUGCUUCGGAAUCUUUUGAGUUGAAGCUAUUCUGUCGGUUCUUUUUACACGACACUUCAUGAAUAGAUUCGUAGUAUUGAAUCCGACAUGU